This 473-nucleotide ribosomal RNA is filed under the name uncultured bacterium. RNAcentral describes it as "bacterial SSU rRNA". It matches the Rfam family "Bacterial small subunit ribosomal RNA", at positions 337 to 802 of the family's 1533-position model. The record is from RNAcentral.
UCCUACGGGAGGCAGCAGUGGGGAAUCUUGCACAAUAGGCGAAAGCCUGAUGCAGCGACGCCGCGUGGAGGAUGACGGUCUUCGGAUUGUAAACUCCUGUUAAACGGGAAGAAAGACUUGUUUCUAAUACAGACAAGUUAUGACGGUACCGUUAGAGAAAGCACCGGCUAACUUCGUGCCAGCAGCCGCGGUAAUACGUAGGGGGCAAGCGUUGUCCGGAUUUACUGGGUGUAAAGGGCGCGUAGGCGGAUUUGUAAGUCAGAGGUGAAAGCCCGCAGCUUAACUGCGGAACUGCCUUUGAUACUGCUUAUCUUGAGUUCGGAAGAGAGUAGCGGAAUUCCAGGUGUAGUAGUGAAAUACGUAGAUAUCUGGAAGAACACCAGUGGCGAAGGCGGCUUCUUGGUCCGUAACUGACGCUGAGGCGCGAAAGCGUGGGGAGCAAACAGGAUUAGAUACCCCAGUAGUCCAAGCCG